AACGCGAAGAACCUUACCUGGGCUUGAACCGCUACUGACCAAGGGUAGAAAUAUCCUCUUCCCGCAAGGGACAGUAGUAGAGGUGCUGCAUGGCUGUCGUCAGCUCGUGCCGUGAGGUGUUGGGUUAAGUCCCGCAACGAGCGCAACCCUUACUCGUAGUUGCCACCCGCAAGGGGGAACUCUACGAGGACUGCUCCGGAUAACGGAGAGGAAGGUGGGGAUGACGUCAAGUCAGCACGGCCUUUAUGUCCAGGGCUACACACGUGUUACAAUGCAUGGUACAGACUGUUGCGAACCCGCGAGGGGGAGCUAAUCGGACAAAGCCAUGCUCAGUUCGGAUUGCAGUCUGCAACUCGGCUGCAUGAAGCUGGAAUCGCUAGUAAUGGCGCAUCAGAUCGGCGCCGUGAAUACGUUCCCGGGCCUUGUA
RNAcentral lists this ribosomal RNA (427 nucleotides) under uncultured Acidobacteriota bacterium. Its description in RNAcentral is "bacterial SSU rRNA". It matches the Rfam family "Bacterial small subunit ribosomal RNA", at positions 958 to 1385 of the family's 1533-position model. Lineage: Bacteria; Pseudomonadati; Acidobacteriota. The record is from RNAcentral.